GGAAGAGGGAAGUGUGAGUUAGGAAUACCUGUUAGCUGAGAGCACAUGCUCUUUCUAUGCUUUCAUUUGGAAAACCCUGUUGAGGAACAUUUGUGUUCUACAUCUCAAUAGGGUUUUGGUAUCUGCUUGAUUUUGAUGGCUUCUCAAUUGGUUCAAAUUCUUGAUGGUAUUGUCUUCUACGUGGAAGUAUAUCCGAACUCCAGAACGAAAAGACACUUUUACCUUGGAUUAACCCUUGUUGAGCAAAUGUGGAUUUUGUCCUUCUAACCCCUAAAACAUCUACAAUGGCAUGAUGGACCAAGGACAUUUGUGGUAACUCUGGACUUUGAUAUCGGGUGUACUUUUGUAAGGUUUUGCUUCCAAAUGCUAUGCAUCAUGAAAUUGUCACAACCUUGUGUAUGAUCUGAAAAUGUAUACCUUACUUAAGGGAAAUAUAAUUGUUGGUUAAUGGUGAUUGAUCCCUCCUCAUUUAUUUAUGUAACCCUUGAAGUUAGUGUUACAACGUGUCAAUUGAUUGCUUUUCAUUUUCUUUGAGAAGAAAUGUCACAUAACUCUAUUAAAGUAAACCUCAGGCAGAAAUCUGAUGAAAAAAUGAAACGACUAACGCAAAUGUCAGUGUGAGAUGAAGAGAUUUGUAAUGUUCUGGACUAAUACACCAAGACCUCAAACACUCUUCAGUCAGCUUGAAAUGACAAGAAUAAGUUAGUAGUUGACAGGAGCUGAUUUCUAUUCACACAAACACACAUGAAUGCAGUUCAUUUAUUCAGAAGCAUGAGAUGGACGGGCUGACAGAGAAGUGUGAAGAUGAUGAUGAUGAUCUGACGUUACACUACACAUUUCAUCUAUUGACGAUAACUUGCCAUCAAUCACCCUCCAGGAUAUCACCAAACAUCAUGUGUAUAAAACAGUUACAGAAUUACACAAUCCUCAUCCAGUCAUGAACUAAACAGAAACAGACUGCUUUGAUGUGGACGCAGAAGUGAGUUUGGGACAUCUUGUUGAGAUAUAAACCCUUUGACUUCAACCGUGUCUAAAAACACUUUUCUUUAAAGAGGACAUUGAAUGAGUUCAGUCAAUAACAGCUGAGGUCAACACAAUCAAUGACGCCCUGACACUCGGAGGAAACCCACAUCUCCAGCUGCUUGACAAACCAAGCAAAACACGCACACACGCACGCAAGCAUGGACGCACAAAUACACACCCACACAAAUAAACACGAACACAGACACACAUACACACACACACAUACACAGACACACACAAAUAUACACACAAGCACCCACACACGCACAAAAUACACACACAUGCACACACACAAACAAGCACACACGCAAAUAUACACACACACACACGCACACACACACAAAUACACACACACAUGUACAAAACAUGCACACACACAACAGCCCUAUUUUAAAUUAAAGUCUGACUGUAGAUAUCCGUGGGUGAGUGAAUUUAUCGGAUCUCUAUUAUCACACACACACACAGAGUUCAGCGCCAUACAAACACACUUUGUUAGUUUCAGCAGCGUCAGUGAGAAUGUGAAUGAAUUGUUGCUGUCAGCUUGUGUGAUUCAUGCUGGAGCUGAAGCAGGAUGAAAAUAAUGAAAUAAAUAACAGGCAACGGUCAAUGACAGCACAUCUAUCAGCGGCUCGUGUCCGCCCCCGCCGGCGAGCUAAAUCUAGCUAUUGCCUGAAUCAUUUUUAAAGGACAGUCCUGUAAAGCAUCAGCUGAGGCCUCUGACAGCGGUUUGUUAGCAGGAUAGAUGAGCGGCGCUCUGAGGUAAUCUAGCAGCUGUCAGAUACACCGCACCACACGUGCUCUUCAUCGGCUCGCUGUGUUUCAGAGGCUCACGCAUUUGUCAGCUCUAGUUGGAAAUAGUAAAUGUGAAGAGUGACGUCCAUCUUCCCCAUAGCGGCAUCUUCACAAGGUCAACAGAGUUCAAUGAGGAAGAAGAUCAAUUGGGUUUUUAACACGAGCAGCGGCGCGUUCAACACAAACACCUUAAACAAACCUGGAAGCCAGAAUAUAUCAAAUAUUGUGCUCUUAUAGACAUAUUCAAUUGUUUCUUUUGUUUACUGGCAUACAGUUUGUACAAGAUCUGAAUGAACAUUACAGUAAAAGCCAUUGUUAGAUUUAAUUUCCGCAUAAUCGAAUACAAGCCUGUUAACAAAUGAAUUGUGAAGUUGUUAAGCUCACUGAAUACAUUCUUGGCCAGACAGUUGGAGGAAGGGUUUCCCUCUGGCUAUAUGGGGGGAUUCUUUCUAUGCUAAACAUUCUCGUCUGCUAUACCUUAUUUGGUCAUUCUGUCAACCCCUGGAC
Long non-coding RNA from Triplophysa dalaica, 2322 nucleotides. RefSeq lists it as uncharacterized. The record is from RefSeq and is a predicted model, not a curated record. The transcript has 3 exons. Lineage: Eukaryota; Metazoa; Chordata; Actinopteri; Cypriniformes; Nemacheilidae.